This 592-nucleotide ribosomal RNA is filed under the name Bacillus toyonensis. RNAcentral describes it as "bacterial SSU rRNA". It matches the Rfam family "Bacterial small subunit ribosomal RNA", at positions 56 to 628 of the family's 1533-position model. Lineage: Bacteria; Bacillati; Bacillota; Bacilli; Caryophanales; Bacillaceae. The record is from RNAcentral.
UGCAAGUCGAGCGAAUGGAUUGAGAGCUUGCUCUCAUGAAGUUAGCGGCGGACGGGUGAGUAACACGUGGGUAACCUGCCCAUAAGACUGGGAUAACUCCGGGAAACCGGGGCUAAUACCGGAUAACAUUUUGAACUGCAUGGUUCGAAAUUGAAAGGCGGCUUCGGCUGUCACUUAUGGAUGGACCCGCGUCGCAUUAGCUAGUUGGUGAGGUAACGGCUCACCAAGGCAACGAUGCGUAGCCGACCUGAGAGGGUGAUCGGCCACACUGGGACUGAGACACGGCCCAGACUCCUACGGGAGGCAGCAGUAGGGAAUCUUCCGCAAUGGACGAAAGUCUGACGGAGCAACGCCGCGUGAGUGAUGAAGGCUUUCGGGUCGUAAAACUCUGUUGUUAGGGAAGAACAAGUGCUAGUUGAAUAAGCUGGCACCUUGACGGUACCUAACCAGAAAGCCACGGCUAACUACGUGCCAGCAGCCGCGGUAAUACGUAGGUGGCAAGCGUUAUCCGGAAUUAUUGGGCGUAAAGCGCGCGCAGGUGGUUUCUUAAGUCUGAUGUGAAAGCCCACGGCUCAACCGUGGAGGGUCAUUG